RNAcentral lists this ribosomal RNA (509 nucleotides) under uncultured Glomus. RNAcentral describes it as "SSU rRNA". It matches the Rfam family "Eukaryotic small subunit ribosomal RNA", at positions 569 to 1078 of the family's 1831-position model. Lineage: Eukaryota; Fungi; Glomeromycota; Glomeromycetes; Glomerales; Glomeraceae. The record is from RNAcentral.
AGCAGCCGCGGUAAUUCCAGCUCCAAUAGCGUAUAUUAAAGUUGUUGCAGUUAAAAAGCUCGUAGUUGAAUUUUGGGUCUGGCCGGGCGGUCCGCCCUCUGGGUGAGCACUGUUCCGACGUCGGGCCUAUCCUUCUGGUGAGUCGGCAUGUCCUUUAUUGGGUGUGUCGGGGAACCAGGACCAUUACCUUGAAAAAAAUUAGAGUGUUCAAAGCAGGCGUAUGCUCGGAUACAUUAGCAUGGAAUAAUGAAAUAGGACGCGUGGUGCUAUUUUGUUGGUUUCUAGAACCGCCGUAAUGAUUAAUAGGGAUAGUUGGGGGCAUUAGUAUUCAAUUGUCAGAGGUGAAAUUCUUGGAUUUAUUGAAGACUAACUUCUGCGAAAGCAUUUGCCAAGGAUGUUUUCAUUAAUCAAGAACGAAAGUUAGGGGAUCGAAGACGAUCAGAUACCGUCGUAGUCUUAACCAUAAACUAUGCCGACUAGGAAUCGGGCGAUGUUAUUCUCAUGACUCG